GUAGGGAAUCUUCCACAAUGGACGAAAGUCUGAUGGAGCAACGCCGCGUGAGUGAAGAAGGUUCUCGGAUCGUAAAACUCUGUUGUGAGGGAAGAACAAGUACCGGAGUAACUGCCGGUACCUUGACGGUACCUCAUUAGAAAGCCACGGCUAACUACGUGCCAGCAGCCGCGGUAAUACGUAGGUGGCAAGCGUUGUCCGGAAUCAUUGGGCGUAAAGCGCGCGCAGGCGGUCCCUUAAGUCUGAUGUGAAAGCCCACGGCUCAACCGUGGAGGGUCAUUGGAAACUGGGAGACUUGAGUGCAGAAGAGGAAAGCGGAAUUCCAAGUGUAGCGGUGAAAUGCGUAGAGAUUUGGAGGAACACCAGUGGCGAAGGCGGCUUUCUGGUCUGUAACUGACGCUGAGGCGCGAAAGCGUGGGGAGCAAACAGGAUUAGAAACCCUUGUAGUCC
This 450-nucleotide ribosomal RNA is filed under the name uncultured bacterium. Its description in RNAcentral is "partial 16S ribosomal RNA". It matches the Rfam family "Bacterial small subunit ribosomal RNA", at positions 354 to 796 of the family's 1533-position model. The record is from RNAcentral.